Phyllostomus discolor (pale spear-nosed bat) is the source of this 4831-nucleotide RNA transcript. RefSeq lists it as uncharacterized. NCBI's taxonomy places the organism in Eukaryota, Metazoa, Chordata, Mammalia, Chiroptera, Phyllostomidae. The record is from RefSeq and is a predicted model, not a curated record. The transcript is spliced from 4 exons.
UUUGUUAAAAUUGCAAACAUUUUCUUAAAAUGUUCUAUUUGGUAAUGAAAACAAUUUCACAGAUAUUAGUAAGUCUUCACUUUCUUGACUACUUUAUAUUAAUUUUUAAUUUCUUUAAAAAUAUAAAUAUAUUAUUUGUUUUUCAAAGACUGAGUACAUAUGUUUAGGAUUCAAAAUCACCCUAAUAAAAGAGUUAAAUAUCUUCAACAGGAUAGUGAACUAUUUACGUGGCUUUAAUUUGUCAGUCUUGUAAAUGAUUUGACAGAACUAACUAGUGAAAACUAACCCAAACCAGAAAUCACUGGGGAGAAUCAUCAAGAAGGAAAAAGGAAGAGUUGCAGGAAAUGAUAUUUUCCCAUCAGUGGACAGGCAUGCAUACAUUAAAAGCAUAAAAGGCAGCAGAGGGAGAAACAAAAGCUGUAUACUGAGGAUUCUGCAACUCUGAAUUAACUAAAUGGAAAAAAAUGAAAUCAUUCUGCUUUAACUUGUUCCCUAAUAAAGGAGAAUUGCUUUUGUUAAAUAUGCUUGGUGUGAUUAUCAGGCAAAAUUUUUUCUCCCAGGCAUCUAUGAAUAAAACAUGUGUUUGAGCAUUAGGUAAACAAAUAAUAAAUGGAUGAGUUCAGUUGCAACAUAAUAACAUUUUAUUUAGAAAACAUAUAUAAUCAUAUUUGUAUUGGCAAUCCAAAUUUAAUGACUUCUUUCAGUAAAAUUAAAGUGCCUCACAAAUAACAUCUUAUGCAUAAGGAUUGCUUAUUCUUUGCCCAUAUUUUCUAUUUUUCAAAGAAACAGAUUUUUAACCAUACAUAAACCAGAUGAAGAACAAUUUCUCAGAGAAAAAAAUUCUUUUGAAUCAUCUUGAUUUUAGGUUACAGAUUAUAAAACUAAAUUUUAAAAUACAUUUCUGAGACUGAGGGAGAAAAAUAUUCUUAAGCCUGGUAUAGCUUGGGCUGAUUUGACAAAGCUCUGUGUGGAGCUGAACCUCAGUCUUUGGCUUAUUAGCCAUUUCAUUAACGCAACAUCUUCUGUAAACUAUGAAUGAGAAGAAACCGUUUACAACAAGGAAAGCAAACAACAGAAUGAAUUUCCUCUGUUGGUGUUUUAUAAGACUGUUAAACAGAAAAUGGAGGGAAGAACUCUCUUUAGACGAUAUCACUUAAUUAAGUAAAGCAUCCUAAUCAGAGUCCCCUCCAAUUGUAAUGACUGUAGGGAGUCAAGUACAUUUCUGUCUGUAUUAGAGUAUCUAACUGCAAUGAUUUAUUGAUAUUUAUUUUAGAAGUACAACACAAAAGCAAUAAAACAGAAGAAGCAGGGAGAGAGGGUGCAUGCCACGGCUUUCUGCAGGUACAGCCAGAGCACUUCAACAGAAUUCCUGAUUUUCUUGUAGGAGAUUUUACUUUCUAAAAUCAGAGCACACCUUUGGAUGAGAUGGCUUCGUUCCUGCAUUUGACUUUUCCAAACAGUCACUGUACUGUUUCUUUGUCCAUUGGGUGAAUCAUUGAUUCACUUUCUUCACUGUAAGAAUCACCACAAAUGAGUGGAUGAGCACCUGCAGUGACAUUACUGGAUGGCAUGCUACACUGAUUUUAGUCUUAAAACACAGCUUCUUUGUAUCGGAGAGAGAUUCGAGGAAGGAGAGUAAAUAUGCUAUAUAGGCAGACAGACAUUGGCUGCCCUCCAAGCUGCACACAGCAUAAACCUGUUUAUCUGCCACAUUUCACAAAUCUCAAAAACAUGUGAAUAAUCAGGCAAGCAACUGGAUAAGUGAUUCACACUAGGGAAUCCGACCCAUAUUCUGAUGAGAGAGUACUAUAAUGUUAAGACAUUGGGGCAAAGAGAUGUAUUUUAGAAACUGCACAUAAUAAAAUUGAUUAGUGGUUCAAAGGAGAAAUUGUUCUAUGAAUUUGAAGAGGUAUCCGAACCCUAUGGACUUCUUUGGGUAUGUGUGGGCAAGAUGUCUGCAGAAUUGAGUUCAAAACUAUACUUCCACCCAUGUAACUCCAAUAAUAGGGCCCCAUGAGCAUUUGGACUUUACAUUAGUUGUCAAGAUAAUUUAUUUCUGGACACCUCCUUCUAGGUAUUGAAAGUCUUUAAACCCUAAGUUAUGCCAACACGUAUAUUUGACAUUAAAUUACCAAAUGAUUAGAACUUAUUCUAGUAAGAAUAAGUUUUGUGGAAGCAAACUUUUCUUGGAAAGUUACAUUUAUUUUCAUAAUUGGAGAUGAACUGCUUGGUAAUAAGUGAAUUAGGCAAGCAAAGGUAUUAUACUAUUGCUUUAUUUUCCUCUUAAUUUUUGUUAUUUCUUCCUCAUUGCUGAUGUUUUAACCCCUCUUUUCCUUAUUUCAGUGGUUAUUGUGCAUUUAGUUGCAAGUGGAAAUUCUUAAAGGUUUGGGGGAUAACCUAAGAAGUAUGCUUUGGUUUUGAAGAUCUCUUAAAAUUGUUUAUAAAUUCCAGGCUUGGAUUACUUCUAUAAACUAUACCUGGUUAUAAUCACAGCAAGAUUAAUGAUCUAUUUGCUUGGUUUGUCUGUUUGGAGCUUCUAGUAUAAACCUACCAUCUUACUACCAAGGAAAUGUAGAUUUUUCUAUAUUUGUAAACACAAAAUGCUAUUACAAAAAGACAAAAAAAAUCAUGCAAGAUAUUUAAAUUAAUGUUGUACAGCCUCAACUUUUUUUCCUGCAUUGCAGACAGAAAGGCAAAUUGCAAAACUUCUUGAUACCAGAAAACUUUGUUAAAUUAGUAACCAAAGACAUCAUCAUCUUAGCAACCAGAAGUCUUGAAAAAGGUAGGUGCAUGGAAAUUUAUACCCCAAAUGAAAUUCGCUAUGUUCAAGUUUCAUGAGUAAAGUGUUGCUUCAAGAGAACCUAUUUGGAGUUUAUUGUCAAUUGUAUCUACCAACUACUUUUUUCUCACCUUAGCAUUUUCUCAUCUUCUCGUUUCUUGUCUCAGGUUCUCUUUCUUCAGGAUCAGGCACAGAGACUGACUGAAUGGUUCCAAUUAUCAGGAUUUGAAAACUUACUCUCAGAAUCUACCACUUUGUGUAAGUCUUCCCUGAGUAGUCUCUUCUUUAGCAGCAGGGCUCUUGCAUAAUAUGGAAGCAUCUUUUCUUCUUCACUUCCUGUAGGCUUGUGAAAUAUGGUACGAAGUUUUGCAUGAUUUUUGAUCCUAGUGCAUGGAAAAUCUUGCUGGAGGCACAAGAUACAAACUAAAAUUCAUUCCUUAAAAGAUGUGCACAGCAUAACAGCUUGGAGUUUUCAAUGCACAGAGAAGGCUUCAUGAGGUGUCGAGUGGAUCCAUUUGCUCAGUGAUAAAGCAGAGGGAACAAAAGAAGAAAUCGAACCAGAGGUCCUCUGGUUCCUUUUGAGCACUUGUAUCUGUGAUCAAGGAGAAGGGUAAGACAAGGCUGAGGACUCAGCCUUCCGGGCACCAGAUGGCAACUCUGAUUAAAGAGUAUUUACUUCGUUUUAAAAAAACGGCCCAACCAAUAUAUAUGACUGCUAGAAAACUAGAGCGUAUGGGUAAGCAAAAUGGAGAAUACAAUAAUCACCCUAACUACCUUCCAGAAGUUUGAAAAGCUCACAGGGUAUCAAUUUGUGUUGCUGCUUCCCCACACAAGAGUGCUGUGAGGAAUCAGAAUUCAUCCCGCCCUGUCUGAACCCCCCGCAGGAGCCCUGGCGUUCUGCACGGAGGUGUUCCUCCACAAACGCAUUUCAAUCAAGGCUUUAAAGUGGCAUACUGAGUACAAUCUCACUAAUUCCUGUGAUGACAGGACAGGAUAGAAAUUCAGGAACUAGAUUUUAAAAUUCUACUUCUUAUACUGCCAUUGUUUUCCUUCACAGAACUCUCUAAAGUUUGGAACAAAAUAUUAAACUUUUCCAGAGAAACUCAGAAUGUUAGUGCUACAGGUCUGUCAUCCAGGGUUUAACAAAUCUUGAGCUCCACCUCUUGCAGGGCCUCAAACUGCUCUUCUUUCACUUCCGCACUUCUAAUUUCCACCCUAGGUCUUGAGUGGGAGUGAAAUGGAGUCCCAGGUCUAGGCUAAAAGUGUCCCCACUUUAGGAUUCAAAUCAUCUGCCCUUGUCUUGGACUAAGGGGAAGGGAGUCAGGUGGGACUAGCCCAGCCCAGUUACAAUCCUUAGAUGUUAGAGCAGAGCAGUCACUGUGAGUACCUCAGGGUGAGUCUCAUUUGCCCUAGGUCCAGAUUUAAUGGACUCAGUACUGAGUCUUGCAAGAGAGAGAGGACUGUGACUGAAAACCAGAAGACCCAUCUUCACCAAGCCUGUUAAGACGUCACAGAGCCAGCCAUACUGCUUUAGGAACAUCUGAUGUGGACAGUCCCAGACUAACCCUGCCCUUCAUCAGCAGGGCGGUGGAUGGCACUGGUUUGAAGAGCUUACCAGCCCCCCUGUAGCUAGUCAGCCUGGAGAUGUCUUUGGAAACCACAGGCCCUGGCCACGGCUGUCACCGCUUGUCUGUCAGCAUCAUCUUCAGGCCUAAGGAAGAGGGGGAAGCAGCAAACACACCUGCGUCUGCCCUGUGCCCAGUGCAGGAAUGGAGCUUGACCUGCUUCAUCCAGCGAGCCUGCUGAGAAGGGGGAGGGCGUCGGACGUCAAGGCGUUGUCAAGAAGGACAUUCACUGAAAUAAAGGCACUGACUUCAGUAUCGGGCAAGUGGUGUCUUCUUAUACCUAAUCCCUUACCCUAGUUUUUUGUUCUUUCUGAGUCUGAUCUGUACCUGUUUUACUGAGUUUCAGCUAUGAGGGUAGUAGAAACAAAUUAGAAAGAACAUUUUAUACCUUUUUUCUAUAUUGGAUUCAUGCUAAUGUGAACCUGUU